GGAUUACACUCAACACAAAAAUACAUCAAUUUCAUAGCAAUUUCUCAUUGGGACAUCAACUGAUUCAUCAAACAUAUAUAAUUCACUGUAAUAAUUAAAAGGAUAAAAUGAAAAUUGCAAAAAUACCCAAAAACUCAUUCCAAUUGAUAUCUCUAAGGAUCGCUACAUAUGUUCUCACUAAUCCCCAAUUGUAAAUAACUC
RNAcentral lists this long non-coding RNA (201 nucleotides) under Glycine max (soybean). RNAcentral's name for it is "long non-coding RNA (GMAX_LNC003496)". Lineage: Eukaryota; Viridiplantae; Streptophyta; Magnoliopsida; Fabales; Fabaceae. The record is from RNAcentral.